This 418-nucleotide ribosomal RNA is filed under the name uncultured bacterium. RNAcentral describes it as "bacterial SSU rRNA". It matches the Rfam family "Bacterial small subunit ribosomal RNA", at positions 358 to 773 of the family's 1533-position model. The record is from RNAcentral.
GGAAUAUUGGACAAUGGAGGCAACUCUGAUCCAGCCAUCCCGCGUGCAUGAAGACGGCCCUAUGGGUUGUAAACUGCUUUUGUCAGGGAAUAAACCUCCGGAUUCAUCCGGAGCUGAAGGUACCUGAAGAAUAAGCACCGGCCAACUCCGUGCCAGCAGCCGCGGUAAUAAGGAGGGUGCAAGCGUUAUCCGGAAUCAGUGGGUUUAAAGGUUGCGUAGGUGGCAUCGUAAGUCAGAAGUGAAAGUUUGCGGCUUAACCGUAAAAUGGCUUUUGAUACUGUGAUGCUUGAAUCAGGUUGAGGUUGGCGGAAUGUGGCAUGUAGCGGUGAAAUGCUUAGAUAUGCCAUAGAACACCGAUUGCGAAGGCAGCUGACUGGACCUGUAUUGACGCUGAGGCACGAAAGCGUGGGGAGCGAAC